UUUACCGAAAGCAUCGUUGGUGAACUAUGGUCGUAAGUCCCAUUGAACUCUAUUGGUAACGACGGAACUUACGACCAUAGUUCGCUUUGGGAAACGCACCCCAGAGCCAUACAGUGAUGGAAGGGCGAGCGUCGCGGGUAAUUUGAAUGUAUUUCAGGGCAGGCUAUGCUUUUGGGUCGUGAGAUUAACAGUAGUGUAAAGCAAUCGUAAAGAGCAGUCGUCGUGGGCAGGAGAAUUUAUUUGAACACAUCCGUCUGUCCAUUCUUCGGAACAGUGUGAGGAAAAACGAAAAACUAACACGUCCUUUCAGCAAGAAGACCACAGCGGACAUCAUACCAACCGAUCACUGGCUGAGGUCAUGUGGAAAGACUGGAGAUCUACAGCAGCAUUGCAGUCCAGCCAGAUGAUCAACCAGUAGCUGCUCGCAUCUCAGCCUGCUUGAUGGAAAUUUCCGACUUUCACCUGGAUGACAUUUACCUUCAACUCCACCUUGCCAAGACAGAAGUUCUCGUGGUUUCAGCCACCCAUCCUUUGUGUUAUAAUCAAUCAGUUAAACUUCACAGACUACAGUGCUGGAACUGCCUGAUCUUGAAGAUAUGCCCAGUACAACAUUGGGAAGACCAGGCCAUUCUAUCCGUUCUAAUUCUAUCCAUUCUAUUCAGGCCAUCCUAUCGGAAAAUGCUACACAACAGAACAACAACUGGCUCUGCAAGCCUGUACCUAUACGCCCUCCAGAAGCUUGUGCUCUGAAAGUGAACAGCAUCUUGUGGUGCCAUCCCAAAG
Molecule: long non-coding RNA, 783 nt
Organism: Megalobrama amblycephala (Wuchang bream)
Lineage: Eukaryota; Metazoa; Chordata; Actinopteri; Cypriniformes; Xenocyprididae
Exons: 3
Source: RefSeq, a predicted model, not a curated record